GAUGAACGCUGGCGGCGUGCCUAACACAUGCAAGUCGAGCGAACAGAUAAGGAGCUUGCUUCUUUGACGUUAGCGGCGGGCGGGUGAGUAACACGCGGAUAACCUACCUAUAAGACUGGGAUAACUUCGGGAAAACGGAGCUAAUACCGGAUAACAUAUUGAACCGCAUGGUUCAAUAGUGAAAGGCGGCUUUGCUGUCACUUAUAGAUGGUUCGGCGCGGUAUUAGCUAGUUGGUGAGGUAACGGCCUACCAAGGCAACGAUACGUAGCCGACCUGAGAGGGUGAUCGGCGACCCUGGAGCUGAGACACGGUCCAGACUCCUACGGGAGGCAGCAGUAGGGAAUCUUGCGCAAUGGGCGCAAGCCUGACGGAGCAAUGCCGCGUGAGUGAUGAAGGCCUUCGGAUCGUAAAACCCUGUUAUCGGGGAAGAACAAUUGUGGACUAAUAUGUGCACAGCAUGACGGUACCCGAUGAGUAAGCCACGGCUAACUACGUG
RNAcentral lists this ribosomal RNA (497 nucleotides) under uncultured bacterium. RNAcentral's name for it is "partial 16S ribosomal RNA". It matches the Rfam family "Bacterial small subunit ribosomal RNA", at positions 28 to 507 of the family's 1533-position model. The record is from RNAcentral.